AGUGAACGCUGGCGGUAGGCCUGACACAUGCAAGUCGAACGGCAGCACAGUAAGAGCUUGCUCUUACGGGUGGCGAGUGGCGGACGGGUGAGGAAUACAUCGGAAUCUACUUUUUCGUGGGGGAUGACGUAGGGAAACUUACGCUAAUACCGCAUACGACCUACGGGUGAAAGCAGGGGAUCUUCGGACCUUGCGCGAUUGAAUGAGCCGAUGUCGGAUUAGCUAGUUGGCGGGGUAAAGGCCCACCAAGGCGACGAUCCGUAGCUGGUCUGAGAGGAUGAUCAGCCACACUGGAACUGAGACACGGUCCAGACUCCUACGGGAGGCAGCAGUGGGGAAUAUUGGACAAUGGGCGCAAGCCUGAUCCAGCCAUACCGCGUGGAUGAAGAAGGCCUUCGGGUUGUAAAGCCCUUUUGUUGGGAAAGAAAAGCAGCAGGUUAAUACCCCGCUGUUCUGACGGUACCCAAAGAAUAAGCACCGGCUAACUUCGUG
RNAcentral lists this ribosomal RNA (492 nucleotides) under uncultured bacterium. RNAcentral's name for it is "partial 16S ribosomal RNA". It matches the Rfam family "Bacterial small subunit ribosomal RNA", at positions 29 to 507 of the family's 1533-position model. The record is from RNAcentral.